Molecule: ribosomal RNA, 539 nt
Filed under: Botrytis cinerea
Lineage: Eukaryota; Fungi; Ascomycota; Leotiomycetes; Helotiales; Sclerotiniaceae
Description: eukaryotic LSU rRNA
Rfam family: 5.8S ribosomal RNA (bases 180-333)
Source: RNAcentral
CUUCCGUAGGUGAACCUGCGGAAGGAUCAUUACAGAGUUCAUGCCCGAAAGGGUAGACCUCCCACCCUUGUGUAUUAUUACUUUGUUGCUUUGGCGAGCUGCCUUCGGGCCUUGUAUGCUCGCCAGAGAAUACCAAAACUCUUUUUAUUAAUGUCGUCUGAGUACUAUAUAAUAGUUAAAACUUUCAACAACGGAUCUCUUGGUUCUGGCAUCGAUGAAGAACGCAGCGAAAUGCGAUAAGUAAUGUGAAUUGCAGAAUUCAGUGAAUCAUCGAAUCUUUGAACGCACAUUGCGCCCCUUGGUAUUCCGGGGGGCAUGCCUGUUCGAGCGUCAUUUCAACCCUCAAGCUUAGCUUGGUAUUGAGUCUAUGUCAGUAAUGGCAGGCUCUAAAAUCAGUGGCGGCGCCGCUGGGUCCUGAACGUAGUAAUAUCUCUCGUUACAGGUUCUCGGUGUGCUUCUGCCAAAACCCAAAUUUUUCUAUGGUUGACCUCGGAUCAGGUAGGGAUACCCGCUGAACUUAAGCAUAUCAAUAAGCGGAG